This 720-nucleotide ribosomal RNA is filed under the name Triticum aestivum (bread wheat). Its description in RNAcentral is "partial small subunit ribosomal RNA". Lineage: Eukaryota; Viridiplantae; Streptophyta; Magnoliopsida; Poales; Poaceae. The record is from RNAcentral.
AUGACGCACCGCACUCACCUCCCGCCGCUCCGCGCGUUCCAGUUCCCGCUCGCCACUCACCUCCGUCACACUUGCUCUCCUUCCCCUCCACCACCUCGCCUCUCGCCAGCUCCCGUACCCCGAUGGCCGACGCCGCUUCGCGCCCGCGCGUUCGGCGAAUCCAUCCGCGGAGGCGCCGAGCCCCCUGGCUCCACCCUCGACGCGCUCCUCUCGGGCGCGGAGCUGCUCUGCCUCGCGCCGCCCGCCAUCUGCUCUGCGGUUUGCGCCGUCCGCCUUAUCGUCGCGCGGGGCGGCUCAGUCAAGCCAUUCGCUGCUGUAGCGAGUGGGAGGAUGUUCGUCUUGCAGUACGUUCUCUUGGUGGGGGCGGUGGCGGUCGGGGUGCUGGUCCGGCGGAAGCAAUGGGAGCGACUUUGCCGGGUGGGCGCGGGCGGCAGCGCAUCGGCCACAGGUGGUGUGGAUUUGGUGGGGAGGGUCGAGAAGGUGGAGGAGAGCGUGCGGGUUGUGUUGGCGGCCGUUGUAGUGCUGUCGAGAACAGUGGAGAAGCUCGGCGUCAGGUUUAGGGUGCUGCGGAGGACGGUGACGGAUCCUAUCAGUGAGACAGCAACAUUAGCCGAAAAGAAUUCAGAAGCCACUCGAAUACUAGCAGCGCAAGGAAAUCUUCUCGAGAAAGAAAUUGGUUCGAUACAAAAGGUUCUAUACGCGAUGCAGGGGAAACUUUGA